AAUUUUGGACAAUGGGCGAAAGCCUGAUCCAGCAAUGCCGCGUGCAGGAUGAAGGCCUUCGGGUUGUAAACUGCUUUUGUACGGAACGAAAAGCUUUAGGUUAAUACCCUGGAGUCAUGACGGUACCGUAAGAAUAAGCAACGGCUAACUACGUGCCAGCAGCCGCGGUAAUACGUAGGGUGCAAGCGUUAAGCGGAAUUACUGGGCGUAACGCGUGCGCAGGCGUUUUUGUAAGACAUGGGUGACACCCCCGGGCUCCACCUGGGAACUGCCUUUGUGACUGCAAGGAUAGAGUACGGCAGAGGGGGGUGGAAUUCCGCGUGUAGCAGUGAAAUGCGUAGAUAUGCGGAGGAACACCGAUGGCGAAGGCAAUCCCCUGGGCCUGUACUGACGCUCAUGCACGAAAGAGUGGGGAGCAAACA
Molecule: ribosomal RNA, 422 nt
Filed under: uncultured bacterium
Lineage: Bacteria
Description: partial 16S ribosomal RNA
Rfam family: Bacterial small subunit ribosomal RNA
Source: RNAcentral